UGGGUGGAUUACAGCAAAUAUGCUAAAAUCGGAACGAUACAGAGAAGAUUAGCAUGGCCCCUGCGCGAGGAUGACAUGCAAAUUCAUGAAGUAUUCCAAUUUUUU
Rhinopithecus bieti (black snub-nosed monkey) is the source of this 105-nucleotide small nuclear RNA. The record is from Ensembl. NCBI's taxonomy places the organism in Eukaryota, Metazoa, Chordata, Mammalia, Primates, Cercopithecidae.